UGUUCCUACGGGGGGCAGCAGUGGGGAAUAUUGCGCAAUGGACGAAAGUCUGACGCAGCGACGCCGCGUGAGGGAUGAAGGUUUUCGGAUCGUAAACCUCUGUCAGGAGGGAAGAAAGCGCAUGGCGCCAAUCAGCCAUGCGUUGACGGUACCUCCAAAGGAAGCGCCGGCUAACUCCGUGCCAGCAGCCGCGGUAAUACGGAGGGCGCGAGCGUUAAUCGGAAUUACUGGGCGUAAAGCGCGCGUAGGCUGUUGUGUAAGUUGGGGGUGAAAUCUAAUGGCUAAACCGUGGAAUAGCACUUGAU
Molecule: ribosomal RNA, 305 nt
Filed under: uncultured bacterium
Lineage: Bacteria
Description: bacterial SSU rRNA
Rfam family: Bacterial small subunit ribosomal RNA
Source: RNAcentral